CCUACGGGCGGCAGCAGUGAGGAAUAUUGGUCAAUGGGCGCGAGCCUGAACCAGCCAAGUCGCGUGAAGGAUGACUGCCCUACGGGUGGUAAACUUCUUUUAUAAGGGAAUAAAGUGAGGCACGUGUGCCUUUUUGUAUGUACUUUAUGACUAAGGAUCGGCUAACUCCGUGCGAGCAGCCGCGGUAAUACGGAGGAUCCGAGCGUUAUCCGGAUUUAUUGGGGUUAAAGGGAGCGUAGAUGGGAUGUUAAGUCAGAUGUGAAAGUUUGCGGCUCAACCGUAAAAUUGCAAUUGAUACUGGGAGGCUUGAGUACAGUAGAGGUAGGCGGAAUUCGUGGUGUAGCGGUGAAAUGCGUAGAUAUCACGAAGAACUCCGAUGGCGAAGGCAGCUUACUAAACUGCCACUGACAUUGAGGCUCGAAAGUGUGGGGAUCAAACAGGAUUAGAUACCCGUGUAGUC
Molecule: ribosomal RNA, 460 nt
Filed under: uncultured bacterium
Lineage: Bacteria
Description: partial 16S ribosomal RNA
Rfam family: Bacterial small subunit ribosomal RNA
Source: RNAcentral